GUAGGUGGCAAGCGUUGUCCGGAAUUAUUGGGCGUAAAGCGCGCGCAGGCGGUCCUUUAAGUCUGAUGCGAAAGCCCACGGGCUCAACCGUGGAGGGUCAUUGGAAACUGGGGGACUUGAGUACAGAAGAGGAAAGCGGAAUUCCAAGUGUAGCGGUGAAAUGCGUAGAGAUUUGGAGGAACACCAGUGGCGAAGGCGGCUUUCUGGUCUGUAACUGACGCUGAGGCGCGAAAGCGUGGGGAGCAAACAGGAUUAGAUACCCUGGUAGUCCACGCCGUAAACGAUGAGUGCUAAGUGUUAGGGGGUUUCCGCCCCUUAGUGCUGCAGCUAACGCAUUAAGCACUCCGCCUGGGGAGUACGGCCGCAAAGGCUGA
RNAcentral lists this ribosomal RNA (374 nucleotides) under uncultured organism. RNAcentral's name for it is "partial 16S ribosomal RNA". It matches the Rfam family "Bacterial small subunit ribosomal RNA", at positions 527 to 897 of the family's 1533-position model. The record is from RNAcentral.